UACGGAGGGUGCGAGCGUUGUCCGGAAUCACUGGGCGUAAAGGGCGCGUAGGCGGCCUGGUAAGUAGGGGGUGAAAUCCUGCGGCUUAACCGCAGGGCUGCCUUCUAAACUGUCAGGCUCGAGCACGGUAGAGGCAGAUGGAAUUCCCGGUGUAGCGGUGGAAUGCGUAGAUAUCCGGAGGAACACCGGUGGCGAAGGCGGCUUCCUGGACCGACACUGACGCUGAGGCGCGAAAGCUAGGGGAGCAAACGGG
RNAcentral lists this ribosomal RNA (253 nucleotides) under uncultured bacterium. RNAcentral's name for it is "partial 16S ribosomal RNA". It matches the Rfam family "Bacterial small subunit ribosomal RNA", at positions 524 to 776 of the family's 1533-position model. The record is from RNAcentral.